This 806-nucleotide long non-coding RNA is filed under the name Triticum aestivum (bread wheat). RNAcentral's name for it is "long non-coding RNA (TAES_LNC025664)". The record is from RNAcentral. Lineage: Eukaryota; Viridiplantae; Streptophyta; Magnoliopsida; Poales; Poaceae.
GGGAAUGUAAUUCACUAGGGUAAUUUAAUUUGCAAGGAAUGAACUAGUGAUUUGUUGCUGGUGCCUCAAUACUAUUUUUUUCACAUAAACUCGCCCAAUAAUCAUAGGCAUGGAUAAGCCAACAAACCAAUUGACUUGCUAGAAAAUUCAACAAGCAAUAGAUCUGAAUCAAUUGUAAUCUGGAGAGAUGGAACCGAUUAACUGGAGAGAAGCCAGCAUAACUGCUAGGGAAAGGCUGGAAGAGUAGCAGAUCCGGAUUAGGCCCAGCGCCUUCUCCAGGGGCUGCUCCUGCUAGUGCAUCAGCAGUCCGGCACCCCUCGUAUCACCAUCUCCACCAUAAUUUCACAUUGCCAACAGGGUCAACAUUUUUUCAGUAAACUGCAGCCGAUGGCUUAAGUCAGAACAAAAGAGGUUGAAUGUAAAACCUCAAAUGGAAACUCACCGGCCACCAACGGAUCCAGACCUGGCUGCAGCCCCCUAAUUGCUGCGCGCAGCCGGCGCUUCCACACUCCGCGGCAGCAGCAUCAGAGGGACCGGAUCCGACUGCUCCAAGCUGUUCGCGAACUCCUCCCAGCGUGGGAACCUUGAAAACCACAGCAGAGUAAGCGGCGGCGGCGGGGAAUCAGUAUAUCCAUCGAAGCACGAAAAUCCAUGGGCGAGCACUGUGGAACAGAAAACUCACCGGUCACCCCAUCGGCAUCCAUCGCCGCUCCGCCGCAAGAAGUCGCGUCCCCUACGCACGCCGUUACCAUCGCACAAGUUUUGAGCCACGGCUCAGACACCCGCACUCACGGAUCAACGCCACC